AGCGAACGCUGGCGGUAGGCCUAACACAUGCAAGUCGAACGGCAACACAGUAAGAGCGUGCUCUUCCGGGGGGCGAGUGGCGGACGGGUGAGGUGUAUAUCGUAAUCUACUCUUUCGGGUGAGUUAACGUAGGGGAAGCUACUCUCGUACCGCAUCCGCCCUACGGGGGAAAGCGGGGGAUCUUCGGGCCUUGCGCGAUUGGAUGAGCCGAUGUCGGAUUAGCUAGUUGGCGGGGUAAUGGCCCACCAAGGCGGCGAUCCGUGGCUGGUCUGAGAGGAUGGUCAGCCACACUGGAACGGAGACACGGUCCAGGGUCCUACGAGAGGCAGCAGUGGGGAAUGUUAGACAAUGGGCGCAAGCCUGAUCCAGUCAUACCGCGUGGGUGAAGAAGGCCUUCGGGUUGUAAAGACCUUUUGUUGGGAAAGAACAGCAGCAGGUUAAUACCCAGCUGUUCUGACGGUACCCAAAGAAUAAGCACCGGCUAACUUCGUG
RNAcentral lists this ribosomal RNA (492 nucleotides) under uncultured bacterium. RNAcentral's name for it is "partial 16S ribosomal RNA". It matches the Rfam family "Bacterial small subunit ribosomal RNA", at positions 29 to 507 of the family's 1533-position model. The record is from RNAcentral.